UGCAUUGCGUUCCAUGACCUUGGA
RNAcentral lists this non-coding RNA (24 nucleotides) under Arabidopsis thaliana (thale cress). The record is from RNAcentral. Lineage: Eukaryota; Viridiplantae; Streptophyta; Magnoliopsida; Brassicales; Brassicaceae.